AUCCUCCUCUGAUGGACUUUGCAGCACUGCUUCCCUUCAUGCCUUCCCGUGCCUCUCUUGCCUUUGGGCAGGAAGGAGGUGUCACUAGUGAGAAGAACUGGCUUUAAAGAAAUCUCUUGCUUCACAAGUCAGAUGAGGAUGUUUUUGCUGCAUCUCUGGUGAAAUUUCUUCCCUUCAAGAAAAUGUGGUUCUACUGGAUGCAGAAAGCCUUUAGCUCAUGGUAGAAGACCUAGCCUCCGAACUACCAGAAUGGCUUGGGAAGAGGAGCAGCCACUGAAGCAGGGGCACAGAAAAGGCCUUGUACUCUCUUGAGAGGAUGGUGCAAGGAACAGCCAGCUCAAGUGCCAAGGUAGCUCAGGUAGAAAGCUGCAAACCGCAGGAAUUAAUCUUCGCUGCCAAAGGCUUCCCUGCUAAGGACUGGUCUGGAUUGGAGGGUGUGCUUGAAGCUGCAGACUGUAUGUGAGCAGGGGCACUCCCAGGUAAGCUUGAAAAGAUGUGGAUUGCAGCAGGGCAUAUACCAC
Molecule: long non-coding RNA, 521 nt
Filed under: Apteryx owenii (little spotted kiwi)
Lineage: Eukaryota; Metazoa; Chordata; Aves; Apterygiformes; Apterygidae
Description: lncRNA (ENSAOWG00000016229.1)
Source: RNAcentral